This 369-nucleotide ribosomal RNA is filed under the name uncultured Atopobium sp. RNAcentral's name for it is "bacterial SSU rRNA". It matches the Rfam family "Bacterial small subunit ribosomal RNA", at positions 147 to 524 of the family's 1533-position model. The record is from RNAcentral. Lineage: Bacteria; Bacillati; Actinomycetota; Coriobacteriia; Coriobacteriales; Atopobiaceae.
CCUCGGGAAACCGAGGUUAAUACCCGGAUACUCCAUAUUUGUCGCAUGGCGAAUAUGGAAAAGCUCCGGCGGCAAGGAUGGGCCCGCGGCCUGUUUAGCUAGUUGUGGGGUAGUGGCCCUACCCAAGGCAAUGAUGGGUAGCCGGGUUGAGAGACCGACCGGCCAGAUUGGGACUGAGACACGGCCCAGACUCCUACGGGAGGCAGCAGUGGGGAAUCUUGCACAAUGGGCGAAAGCCUGAUGCAGCGACGCCGCGUGCGGGAUGAAGGCCUUCGGGUUGUAAACCGCUUUCAGCAGGGGACGAGGCCGCAAGGUGACGGUACCUGCAGAAGAAGCCCCGGCUAACUACGUGCCAGCAGCCGCGGUAAU